GGGGGAGAGCGCUCCGGUCGCCAUCCCCGAGGAGCGAAGAGAGGCACAAGAAAGGUGCUAGACGCGCGUUUCCACGCUAGCCCGCCGAGUGCUGGCGCGUCUCUGCCAAAGCGACGGGAGAGGGCGGCGCGAGUCCGGGGAGCUCACGCUGCGGCCCCCGCUCGCUGAGGUGCGCCGUCCCUCGGCCUUCACCCUGGCGAUGCGGCGCUGUUGAAGAGCCCCGCCGAGACUGCAACUCCCGGCGUGCAGCGCGCCCAGCGCCGCGCUUGCGCACCAAGGCCUGGUGGGGUGGGGCCGGCCGCUGCCGCUGCCUCGCGGCCCCAUCGGCGUUCCGGAGCGGUCGUUCAGUCAGGGCUGGAAGCGGAGGUGAUAGCGGGGAGCCGUGACCAGAGCCGCCCGGCGGCCGUUCGUUUCGGUCACAGCGGUUCUAACCGCCACCGACCCCGGCGCGGCCCAGACAGGCGGCCCUCCCGCGCUCUGCCGUGCCCCGAGGCGCUGAGGGCCCCGCGCCGGGACGGCCGCCGAACUCAGCGGGCUGUGCCGUCACCUCAGGAUCCGGGGCGAGAGAAAUCGGGAAAUCAGACAGAGGAAGAGUUUUGGAGUUAAUCUGCAUUAAUGAGCCCAGAUCGAGACAUAAAUAGAGCUGGCGCACGUAACCUUUCAUGUGAUGAGUUGAAAACACAAUCAUAGAUUUUUUUUUUCCUAUGAGUUAUUCAUAAACUUGCAUAAAUGCAUUAAAUCUGCAUAGUACCAUAGGGUGAAGUCUUUAUCUGCGGCCCCGUGAGGCAUGCACAGCCCGACGAGCCCUCAGAGAGACAUUUCUGCUCGUCCCCAGCGUUCCUGAGGAGGGAUUUGCUUUUUCUUUGUGGUAAACUCCUAGUAUGGAAUCAUUCCUCAGUAACAUGCAGUUAGACACAAUUCCAUCUGCAUCCUCACCAUCUUUGUACUUUGUAUAGUUCUAUAAGAGAGACACAACUACAUUGUACCUCUAGCACAUGGCUCCUGCCUGUACCUGAGUCCCUCAGGAAGGUUCCCCCACAGAGUGCUGGGGAACAAAACGGCUCUCCCUGCCUGUUCCCUCUCCCGUCCUUUGGUGGGAGAUCGGUGGUGAUGAGGAAUGGAUGCUGAAAGCAGUGACUCCAGAAGUACCAACCACCAACAACGUGAGUCAACUGGAGGCCCCACAUCACAGAAUGUAGCCAGAGCAAACCACGGACUUCAUUUUCUGUGGCGGAGACAGUUUUUGUCACAGUGCUGUGCUCAGUGACCCAGAUAAAGUCUGUUCCCUCUCGUGGAGCUGAGCUUCCAGAAAACUCUGUUCUCUCAGAAUGUUAAAGAAACACUUACAGACAAG
RNAcentral lists this long non-coding RNA (1354 nucleotides) under Gallus gallus (chicken). RNAcentral's name for it is "long non-coding RNA NONGGAT008185". Lineage: Eukaryota; Metazoa; Chordata; Aves; Galliformes; Phasianidae. The record is from RNAcentral.